This 572-nucleotide ribosomal RNA is filed under the name Hydrochus nooreinus. RNAcentral's name for it is "SSU rRNA". It matches the Rfam family "Eukaryotic small subunit ribosomal RNA", at positions 50 to 602 of the family's 1831-position model. The record is from RNAcentral. Lineage: Eukaryota; Metazoa; Arthropoda; Insecta; Coleoptera; Hydrochidae.
CAUGCAUGUCUCAGUACAAGCCAAAUUAAGGUGAAACCGCGAAAGGCUCAUUAAAUCAGUUAUGGUUCCUUAGAUCGUACCACAUUUACUUGGAUAACUGUGGUAAUUCUAGAGCUAAUACAUGCAAACAGAGCUCCGACCGGAGACGGAAGGAGCGCUUUUAUUAGAUCAAAACCAAUCGGUGGCGGGCUCGCCCGUCAUCGUACAUUUUGGUGACUCUGAAUAACUUUUUGCUGAUCGCACGGUCACGCACCGGCGACGCAUCUUUCAAAUGUCUGCCUUAUCAACUGUCGAUGGUAGGUUCUGCGCCUACCAUGGUUGUAACGGGUAACGGGGAAUCAGGGUUCGAUUCCGGAGAGGGAGCCUGAGAAACGGCUACCACAUCCAAGGAAGGCAGCAGGCGCGCAAAUUACCCACUCCCGGCACGGGGAGGUAGUGACGAAAAAUAACGAUACGGGACUCAUCCGAGGCCCCGUAAUCGGAAUGAGUACACUCUAAACUCUUUAACGAGAACCCAUUGGAGGGCAAGUCUGGUGCCAGCAGCCGCGGUAAUUCCAGCUCCAAUAGCGUAU